Molecule: ribosomal RNA, 301 nt
Filed under: uncultured bacterium
Lineage: Bacteria
Description: partial 16S ribosomal RNA
Rfam family: Bacterial small subunit ribosomal RNA
Source: RNAcentral
CAGCCGCCACGGUAAUACGUAGGCGGCAAGCGUUGUCCGGAAUUAUUGGGCGUAAAGGGCUCGCAGGCGGUUUCUUAAGUCUGAUGUGAAAGCCCCCGGCUCAACCGGGGAGGGUCAUUGGAAACUGGGAAACUUGAGUGCAGAAGAGGAGAGUGGAAUUCCACGUGUAGCGGUGAAAUGCGUAGAGAUGUGGAGGAACACCAGUGGCGAAGGCGACUCUCUGGUCUGUAACUGACGCUGAGGAGCGAAAGCGUGGGGAGCGAACAGGAUUAGAUACCCCGGUAGUCCCUGUCUCUUAUAC